RNAcentral lists this ribosomal RNA (1445 nucleotides) under metagenome. Its description in RNAcentral is "bacterial LSU rRNA". It matches the Rfam family "Bacterial large subunit ribosomal RNA", at positions 1504 to 2925 of the family's 2925-position model. The record is from RNAcentral.
CUCCUGGGGUAAGCGGGUAGGGAGGACCGUAGGUAAAUCCGCGGACCAUUAAUCCUGAGAUGUGAUGCCGAGCCGAUUGUGGCGAAGUGGGUGAUCCUAUGCUGCCGAGAAAAGCCUCUAGUGAGUGUCGUGGCGGCCCGUACCCCAAACCGACUCAGGUGGUCAGGUAGAGAAUACCAAGGCGAUCGGGUGAACUGUGGUUAAGGAACUCGGCAAAUUGCCCCCGUAACUUCGUGAGAAGGGGGGCCUCCGCUGGUGAUCAGACUUGCUUUGUGAGCUGGUGGGGGUCGCAGAGGCCAGGGGGAAGCGACUGUUUACUAAAAACACAGGUCCGUGCGAAGUCGUAAGACGAUGUAUACGGACUGACGCCUGCCCGGUGCUGGAACGUUAAGGGGACCGGUUAGCGCAUCUUCGGGUGUGCGAGGCUGAGAACUUAAGCGCCAGUAAACGGCGGUGGUAACUAUAACCAUCCUAAGGUAGCGAAAUUCCUUGUCGGGUAAGUUCCGACCUGCACGAAUGGCGUAACGACUUCCCCGCUGUCUCAACCGCAGACCCGGCGAAAUUGCACUACGAGUAAAGAUGCUCGUUACGCGCAGCAGGACGGAAAGACCCCGGGACCUUCACUACAGCUUGACAUUGGCGUUUGGAACGUCUUGUGUAGGAUAGGUGGGAGACUGUGAAGCUGUCACGCUAGUGGUGGUGGAGUCAUUGGUGAAAUACCACUCUGGUCGUUUUGAACGUCUAACUUCGGUCCGUGAUCCGGAUCAGGGACAGUGUCUGGUGGGUAGUUUAACUGGGGCGGUUGCCUCCUAAAGAGUAACGGAGGCGCCCAAAGGUUCCCUCAGCCUGGUUGGUAAUCAGGUGUCGAGUGUAAGUGCACAAGGGAGCUUGACUGUGAGACCGACGGGUCGAGCAGGAGCGAAAGCUGGGACUAGUGAUCCGGCGGUGGCAUGUGGAAGCGCCGUCGCUCAACGGCUAAAAGGUACCCCGGGGAUAACAGGCUGAUCUUCCCCAAGAGUCCAUAUCGACGGGAUGGUUUGGCACCUCGAUGUCGGCUCGUCGCAUCCUGGGGCUGGAGUAGGUCCCAAGGGUUGGGCUGUUCGCCCAUUAAAGCGGUACGCGAGCUGGGUUUAGAACGUCGCGAGACAGUUCGGUCCCUAUCCGCUGCGCGCGCAGGAGACUUGAAAGGAGCUGUCCCUAGUACGAGAGGACCGGGACGGACGAACCUCUGGUGUGCCAGUUGUUCCGCCAGGAGCAUGGCUGGUUGGCUACGUUCGGAAGGGAUAACCGCUGAAAGCAUCUAAGCGGGAAGCUCGCCUUGAGAUGAGGUCUCCCACCACGAGAGUGGGUAAGGCCCCCGGGAGACGACCGGGUUGAUAGGCCGGAGGUGGAAGCAUGGUAACGUGUGGAGCUUACCGGUACUAAUAGGCCGAGGACUUGACCAC